CGGUGGCGGAGCGUCGUUUGCGACGCCCAACACACAAAACAAGCGGUGAGUGCUUUGGGGUGGGGUGACUGCGUACCUUUUGUAUAAUGGGUCAGCGACUUAUAUUCUGUAGCAAGGUUAACCGAAUAGGGGAGCCGGAGGGAAACCGAGUCUUAAUUGGGCGUUAAGUUGCAGGGUAUAGACCCGAAACCCGGUGAUCUAGCCAUGGGCAGGUUGAAGGUUGGGUAACACUAACUGGAGGACCGAACCGACUAAUGUUGAAAAAUUAGCGGAUGACCUGUGGCUGGGGGUGAAAGGCCAAUCAAACCGGGAGAUAGCUGGUUCUCCCCGAAAGCUAUUUAGGUAGCGCCUCGUGAAUUCAUCUCCGGGGGUAGAGCACUGUUUCGGCUAGGGGGCCAUCCCGGCUUACCAACCCGAUGCAAACUGCGAAUACCGGAGAAUGUUAUCACGGGAGACACACGGCGGGUGCUAACGUCCGUCGUGAAGAGGGAAACAACCCAGACCGCCAGCUAAGGUCCCAAAGUCAUGGUUAAGUGGGAAACGAUGUGGGAAGGCCCAGACAGCCAGGAUGUUGGCUUAGAAGCAGCCAUCAUUUAAAGAAAGCGUAAUAGCUCACUGGUCGAGUCGGCCUGCGCGGAAGAUGUAACGGGGCUAAACCAUGCACCGAAGCUGCGGCAGCGACACUCAGGUGUUGUUGGGUAGGG
Molecule: ribosomal RNA, 704 nt
Filed under: Salmonella enterica subsp. enterica serovar Llandoff
Lineage: Bacteria; Pseudomonadati; Pseudomonadota; Gammaproteobacteria; Enterobacterales; Enterobacteriaceae
Description: partial 23S ribosomal RNA
Rfam family: Bacterial large subunit ribosomal RNA
Source: RNAcentral